GAUGAUGAACGUAGCGAAAUGCGAUACGUAAUGUGAAUUGCAAAUUCAGUGAAUCAUCGAGUCUUUGAACGCACAUUGCGCCCCCUGGUAUUCCGGGGGGCAUGCCUGUCCGAGCGUCAUUGCUGCCCUCAAGCACGGCUUGUGUGUUGGGCCCCGUCCUCCGAUCCCGGGGGACGGGCCCGAAAGGCAGCGGCGGCACCGCGUCCGGUCCUCGAGCGUAUGGGGCUUUGUCACCCGCUCUGUAGGCCCGGCCGGCGCUUGCCGAUCAACCCAAAUUUUUAUCCAGGUUGACCUCGGAUCAGGUAGGGAUACCCGCUGAACUUAAGCAUAUCAAUAAGCGGAGGA
Molecule: unclassified non-coding RNA, 345 nt
Filed under: soil metagenome
Description: partial contains 5.8S ribosomal RNA, internal transcribed spacer 2, and large subunit ribosomal RNA
Rfam family: 5.8S ribosomal RNA (bases 1-119)
Source: RNAcentral